This is a non-coding RNA of Phalacrocorax carbo (great cormorant), 4680 nucleotides long. Lineage: Eukaryota; Metazoa; Chordata; Aves; Suliformes; Phalacrocoracidae. The record is from RefSeq and is a predicted model, not a curated record.
UUUUCUGUCGUUUCCAGAGAUGCCUCUGCAGGUGGGAAUGGGAGAUAGACAGAUCUUGCUGGAUGCUCCUACCUGCUCCAGUGUGUCCCACAGAGGCCGUCUGGCAUUGCUGCUCAGCAACACUGCUGCUGUUUCAGCAGAUGCCUGUGUGGUGGGUAUUUAGAUGGAAGUAGGGAUGUAUUAGCAGCUUGCUGGGAAAUCAAGAAUGCUUGCUAAUUGAUGUAGAAGGGAGCACACUGCAGCCACUUCUGUCUGAAAUACCAAACUGUGAUCUUUGGAGACCACAUCUCCCAACAUGGGUGGUUCCUCUCAACCUGAGUGUUGUUGGUGCCACAGACCUGUAGUCCACCAAACACAGCUCCAUCCUGAAGAUGUGAAUAGUCACUGGAUGCCUUUAGCUUGGGUGCCCCUUGCACCUAAAUUCCUUGUGCUUUAUUGUCAUGCUCUUGGUGUUUGUGAAUUAUGGCACUGUGGUUGAAAGUUCCCCUACACGGCAGGGUGGGAAAUUAUUAUCCUGUAGUAUACUCAAAAGCUGCUGCUUUGCAAGGAGAGGUUUGCUGGUACGCCGUGGGUACCUUGUGCAUUUCUAUCCGACAGUACAGUGGGUUGAGUUGUGGAGGUUGGGUUUAUGUCUUUCUCUUUCUCCGUACUCAGCUCUUCCACACAUUGCGUGAGAACUAACAACAUGAACAUAAAAGCAAGGGCUGUGCUCUUCAAGUAAUAUUAUCAGAGCAGAAGCUUAGCACUCAGCUAGAACUAAAUCAACCAACUUUUUAGCUCCCAGACUAAUAAGGAAGGUUUAAAAAUGAAAGCCAGGAGGACUGAUACCUGUCUGAGCUUGAUGAGAUCUUGAAGUAGUCACAAAAUUUUCCCCGCACCUCACAGGGGAAAACACUCCAGACCCAAAUACUUUGGUCUUCAUGCCAUUGUCAUGCCUAAAAGAGGCUUUGCAUGAGGCAGAACAAAAAUACAGCUGCUCUUUACAUCCAUUCCUGCAGCUGCAACUAGCUGCAAAUAUUUACUAUUUGCAGACAACAAAGCUUGACAGAGGAAUCUGGAUGGUAAUAACCUUGAUUCAUUUGAACAUAGGUACAAACAGUCACACUGAUGGCCAUUGAGUCCGAAGAACUCUGAAGUUGUUCACAUCUACAGGAAUUGUUCUGGAAAGGAGCAUGAGAGCUGUGAUGGGUUGGCUGGGAGCACAGGGUACUCCUUGGACAUCUGAACAGGGAAAUUUCUAGAAAUAGGUGACAGGAAUUACCUCUUUAUAUGACAGUCUCAGUGUUGCCAAUGCUAAGAAUUUAUUUCACCUAGCUCAAAGUUUUUGCUGUUUUCCAUUGACAUUGUUCACCCUGGUAGAGUAAGAAGCGCAGCUUCUAGUCUAAGAACAUGCUCUCAUCUUUGCAGAGAAGCAUUGGGAACUCCAAGGUCAGGUUGUGGUUUGAGGGACUGAGCCAAUGUUGUCACCAAAAACAGUGGUUCCUCCAAGUUCCAGCUGCUUCGUUGCACCAUCCCACCCCUUUACACUGGUGCAGCUAUUUGGUGAAGUGUCUGGAAAUGCUGAUCCUGCACGACACCAAGUGCUCUGGUUUGCUGGUUUGGUUUUCAUCUGGUUCAGUUCAUCCAUCUGGUCCAGCAUUUGGUCACACAACAGAAGUGGGGGAAGGAGAGGACAGAGAAUGUGACCACUUCUAGUGGCACUAUAACUUCGUGUGAGUUUGAAGUGUGGGUCAAACUACAACCUAAAUAUGCCCUGCAUGUUUAGAAACUAGAAACAGAAUAAACCCAAACACAGAUUCUUUCCAGAAAUAUAAACUGUAAUGGCAGUCCUAUUAAUUUGUUGGGGGACUAUUCAUUUUAGAAUGCUCAGACGGUAAGACUUUUGUCAUGAAGCCUUUACCAGAUGCUCCAUCCAGGUCUUAGAUGCACUUGCCAAAAAUGACAUUGAAAGAGCUUGGGAAAAGAGCUACAGGACUGUUAACAGGGUUGGCAAACCUGCCUUAUCAUGGGAGGCCAAUAAAGCACAAUCAAUGUAGUUGUUCAAGAGAAAGUUUAAAGGAGAGUUUUCCAUGGCCCAGCUAUACCCAUGUCAGGAAGGAAGCUCCAGGGCAGAGAUCUUCUGUCUGGCACAUGAAAGCAGGGAAGACAGAGUAGCCAAGAAUGGCAGAUGAAGAAAUCAGGCAGGCUUUUAGUCAUGAAGCAACUGUCCAGUGAGAACUUUCACAGGAAUGUGGGGACUUUUUUCUUAUUAAAAGAUUUUCUGAGAAACCUGUCUUCUAAGAGGUCUUCCUACCAUAACCCAAUCAAAAGUAGCAGGCAAGAUGCUGGCAACACCAAGAUAUCAUCGCUGUGGUGCAGUAGAUUCCUGGCCCUGCCAGACACAUGCCAAAGCUAUCACAUGUUGGAGAACCACCAGAGAGGUCCUGGAGGUUUCAGAAAGCCAGUGAAAGAUUUCCUGCACAGAAAAUAACAGCCAUUCCCAGUGUUGUUUGACAGGGCUGGGCUGAGGGUGCAGCUGGGUCCACAGAGUUCUGGGACUGGCAUGAGUUGUCUCUCCUUGUGGUUGUGCUACCAGCCUCCCUGCCCCGGCACAGCCCCAGUUCCCAGCUGUCCCUGGCGUGGAGCAGAGCAGGAGAGUGCCUCACCAGCACAGUGCUCCCCUAGUCAUUUUGGAUGAGAGUGGGCUGCACCAUCAGGUGCGAUGGCAGUGGAAGUUGGCUGACUGCAGCAAUGCUUUCUCCCCAGACAGCCUGCACAGGAGCUGCCAGGCGCUGUCACUGAAAGGUUUCUAAGGGUUGUUCCUGCAAGGCUUGACUGUCCCCAUGUAUCCCACAGGUUUGGGUCUCUGGGCCUGCUCCCCUUCCCAGUGGCAAGUGAUGCUGUGAUCUUGGUUGAAUGUCACAUUGCCUCUUUCAUGCUUUCACUGAAGUUAUUUUUACAGGAGAUUCAGUGCUGGGCUCUUCCAGCCAAGUGGAUAUCAAGAAUUUGCUAACAAGAGGUGGUCCUCAGAGCUGCAUUUUGCCAGCAGAGCCAGUCACAAGGUGCUGCCUGGCCCAGGCAUACUCGUAAGCCCCCUGUUAGCAGCCCAUGUGCUGCAGAAGAUGAUGCCUUGAUCCCUCUUUCAGGUGUCAGCAGAGGGACUCGGGAAAGCCCCUGCCAUGUGGGUGCUGCUCUGGUUCUCCUCCCUGUCUCUGAUUUUCAAGGUUCUGCCCUUCAAUUGCCAUGCCUGUUGCUGCACUCCAAGGGGCUGGGACCGUAGUAACAGCAGAGCCAGCUGACGUCAAGACAGGUUGGCAGCAUCUUCAUGAGCAUCGGGGUUUGUAUCUCUGUGAGGCCAGAGAAUAGCCCUGGUUGCAGGCUGUGGUGAGCCAUGAUCCUAAGCACAUCCAGGGUCCCUUGAAAUGACAGUGAUUUGUAUGCCAUAACUCUCCUGUCCCCUCAUUCCUAAUAUACCUCUUCUAGAAAAUCUUGUCUUCAAAGUUACUGUGUAUUCCCUGCAGGUCAGUCCCUCUCUGGCUGGGGGCUUGAAGCCCUCCUGGAUUUCUGCAAAGCUUGAGGCAGACUUGGCCGCCAACCUAUGCAGCAGGCCCUGCGCCAUGCAGAAUGGUGCUCUGGGUUAUAAGGAGGAACAUUAUGCCAUUUAUUUCUGGAACUGCAAGUGUCUGGAAAGCAGGUUUGAAGUAUGCUUGAUGCCCUCUGUGCUAAAAGGAGGAAGGGAGCUACCACAGCAAAUCCGGAGGUGGGUUCCUGGUAGGGACCAAGGUGAGAACUCCUCCUGCUCUUAGCUCCUAAACCAGAGGGGGCUGCAGGGGUGAGAUCUCUGCUUUGGCAAGGGUACUGCUGGGCUGGUAUCAGCAUGGGGCUUGCCAGUAGCUGCUCUGCCUCUGGCUUGCCUCAUAUUGCCUCUGCCCUGAGUGCAAGGAGGUCUGACACAGGGUCGCUGGGGAGGCAGGGGCUGACAUUCACUCAGCACUUGGGUAAAUGGCUGCUGGGGUGCAAGGCACAGGCUCUCGGACCAUCGCCUAUGGAUGGUGUGAUGAGCUCUGCAGGACGUGGGGGUUUAGGCGAGGAGUCCAGGUGUAAAAGUGCAUGUGAAAACCAGUGUCGGCGACACUGCUGUGCGAUGGGACCUGGGCUGCUUCUUCUCCAGACAGGAAUUGGAGCUGGAAACGUGGAUAAUUUUGUAUAUCUCCUUUUAACACAAUAGCACGUGACUCUACACUCAGACAUUGUAUCUGGCGCACCGACAUUGUUUUCUUUCGCCUCUGGCACAGUCUGACAGCGAAGUCUUUUGGCCUGGAGACAGGACUUCUGCUCCUUGGUACUGCCUACCUGGAAAUGCGACUGCGUCCCAAGGCUAAAUCUCUCUACGUAUCUUCUUUGCAUUCUUUAGGAAAGCAGCUGGAGAAUGUUUACACACUGCAAACAGAAUGUAUGACUCCGACUGAGGAACCACAAUCCGGUUCAACUGCAUGGCAAAUUUCUUGGCCAUAAAAUCUGGCAUGCAUCACAGAGGCCCUGUCUGUGUACAGAUCCACAUGGCAUUUGUCAUAACUUCAGAUCACAUCUUUAAAAAAAAUAAAUUAUGCCAUUUCUUGUUCAUAUCAGACACAGUUGUCAUUAGCUUUGUUAUUAAAAGGGGAUUCUUGAUCAUGCCAUUAAAAGCCUGUCUACUUUUCA